GUUUGAUUCCUUAUUUUGUCGCCGAGGAUUGCAGCUACAUUUUUGAAGGUUGGUUGUUCUCGUCGGACAUCAGGAUUUUAAAGUAUUCCGGUAUUGAAUUAACAAAACAAUACACGAAAAAAUGACUCGAUAUUAAAUUAUUUAGGAAUACAGCAUGUAUUUUUGCAAUAAUUUAAUAUCAUCCCCAGACCUACAACAAAGUGCACACCAGCAGAGAUUUUUGUAAAAUUUGAAUGAACAGCUGC
RNAcentral lists this long non-coding RNA (245 nucleotides) under Mytilus galloprovincialis (Mediterranean mussel). Lineage: Eukaryota; Metazoa; Mollusca; Bivalvia; Mytilida; Mytilidae. The record is from RNAcentral.